This 205-nucleotide long non-coding RNA is filed under the name Nicotiana benthamiana. Its description in RNAcentral is "long non-coding RNA (NBEN_LNC022353)". Lineage: Eukaryota; Viridiplantae; Streptophyta; Magnoliopsida; Solanales; Solanaceae. The record is from RNAcentral.
CAUAACCACUGCCCGAGAAGGGAGUGGACACAAGAGAGACUCCAGGAACAUCAGAGGAGUAAACAAAAAGGGGGCUGGUAGAGUCCACUGAGGAGGUACUAACAUUCAUAUUAGAAGCCAUGAACAAUAAUCAGUUUGAAAUAAAAAACAGUCUCAGAACCCACAUGCAAAACAUACAACACUUAGAACAGGGAUAGAGUUACCC